CUCAGAACGAACGCUGGCGGCGCGUCUUAAGCAUGCAAGUCGAACGGCAAGAGGUAGCAAUACCUCCUAGAGUGGCGGACUGGUGAGUAACACGUGGGUGACAUACCCUUCAGAUGGGGAUAGCUAUUAGAAAUAGUAGAUAAUACCGAAUACGAGCACAGGGGUUAGAGAUCUGUGAGGAAAGGAGCUAAGGCUCCGCUGAAGGAAUGGCCUGCGGCCCAUUAGCUAGUUGGUGAGGUAAGAGCCCACCAAGGCGAUGAUGGGUAUCCGGCCUUAGAGGGUGAACGGACACAUUGGGACUGAGAUACGGCCCAGACUCCUACGGGAGGCAGCAGCUAAGAAUAUUCCGCAAUGGACGAAAGUCUGACGGAGCGACGCCGCGUGGAUGAAGAAGGCCGGAAGGUUGUAAAAUCCUUUUGAAACUGAAGAAUAAGCGUUGUAGGGAAUGACAGCGUGGUGACAGUAGGUUUUGAAUAAGCAACGGCUAAUUACGUGCCAGCCGCUGC
Molecule: ribosomal RNA, 506 nt
Filed under: uncultured bacterium
Lineage: Bacteria
Description: bacterial SSU rRNA
Rfam family: Bacterial small subunit ribosomal RNA
Source: RNAcentral